RNAcentral lists this ribosomal RNA (265 nucleotides) under uncultured bacterium. Its description in RNAcentral is "partial 16S ribosomal RNA". It matches the Rfam family "Bacterial small subunit ribosomal RNA", at positions 793 to 1055 of the family's 1533-position model. The record is from RNAcentral.
GUCCACGCCGUAAACGAUGGAUGCUAGAUGUUGGGGGUAUUGACCCCUCCGGCGUCGCAGCUAACGCAUUAAGCAUCCCGCCUGGGGAGUACGGCCGCAAGGCUAAAACUCAAAGGAAUUGACGGGGGCCCGCACAAGCGGUGGAGCAUGUGGUUUAAUUCGACGCAACGCGAAGAACCUUACCUGGGUUAAAUCCGCCGGAACCUGCCAGAGAUGGUGGAGUGCCCUUCGGGGAACCGGCGAGAAGGUGCUGCAUGGCUGUCGU